CCUACGGGGGGCUGCAGUGGGGAAUAUUGCACAAUGGGCGCAAGCCUGAUGCAGCCAUGCCGCGUGUGUGAAGAAGGCCUUCGGGUUGUAAAGCACUUUCAGCGGGGAGGAAGGCGGUGAGGUUAAUAACCUGAUCGAUUGACGUUACCCGCAGAAGAAGCACCGGCUAACUCCGUGCCAGCAGCCGCGGUAAUACGGAGGGUGCAAGCGUUAAUCGGAAUUACUGGGCGUAAAGCGCACGCAGGCGGUCUGUCAAGUCGGAUGUGAAAUCCCCGGGCUCAACCUGGGAACUGCAUUCGAAACUGGCAGGCUAGAGUCUUGUAGAGGGGGGUAGAAUUCCAGGUGUAGCGGUGAAAUGCGUAGAGAUCUGGAGGAAUACCGGUGGCGAAGGCGGCCCCCUGGACAAAGACUGACGCUCAGGUGCGAAAGCGUGGGGAGCAAACAGGAUUAGAUACCCGGGUAGUC
Molecule: ribosomal RNA, 465 nt
Filed under: uncultured Klebsiella sp.
Lineage: Bacteria; Pseudomonadati; Pseudomonadota; Gammaproteobacteria; Enterobacterales; Enterobacteriaceae
Description: bacterial SSU rRNA
Rfam family: Bacterial small subunit ribosomal RNA
Source: RNAcentral